RNAcentral lists this ribosomal RNA (253 nucleotides) under uncultured bacterium. RNAcentral's name for it is "partial 16S ribosomal RNA". It matches the Rfam family "Bacterial small subunit ribosomal RNA", at positions 524 to 776 of the family's 1533-position model. The record is from RNAcentral.
GACGUAGGAGGCGAGCGUUGUCCGGAUUCAUUGGGCGUAAAGAGCGCGCAGGCGGCUUGGUAAGUCGGAUGUGAAAACCCGAGGCUCAACCUCGGGCGUGCAUCCGAUACUGCUCGGCUAGAGGUAGGUAGGGGAGAUCGGAAUUCCUGGUGUAGCGGUGAAAUGCGUAGAGAUCGGGAGGAACAUCUGUGGCGAAGGCGGCCAUCUGGACCAGCACUGACACUGAGGCACGAAAGCGUGGGGAGCAAACAGG